This 683-nucleotide long non-coding RNA is filed under the name Macaca mulatta (Rhesus monkey). RNAcentral's name for it is "lncRNA (ENSMMUG00000042054.2)". Lineage: Eukaryota; Metazoa; Chordata; Mammalia; Primates; Cercopithecidae. The record is from RNAcentral.
GCUAAAAACAGAAGCUAGUAUUAAACAUAACAGUAAAUGAAGAGGCAGAGAAAAGUUGAAGUGAAAACCAGGUGCAAAAUAAGAUUAAUGUUGUCCUUCUACCACUUGCUUACCUCAACAAACAACAAACUUGCAAUCAUGCUCUGCCAGUAACGAGAGAGUGCCACCUCAGCACCCUCAUAAGGAGAGAAGUUGGAUCUGAUGACUUCCAGGGCCUUUCCAGCUGUACCACUUCUGGAUUCGAUGUAGGCAAUCAUUUCCUGCCUGCAGAAGGCUGCAUCCUCUGCUUCCUGUCUUCAGUGGCCUUGUGGGAACUUCACCCGCACGAUGAUUUGCCCCAAAAGAGACUGAAUCAAAACAAGUCACAGGGCAGCAGGAGAGACGAAGAGUGCUCAUGAGGAAAGAACUGACCCCCCAUUGGACUUUCUCAUAAACUGAUGACUCACUCCUGUUGCAAACACUGGCUUCACUAAGGGUAGACGUUCCGCUGUCUCACUUUGCCAAAAGUGGCCACAAUGGAUUGGCAAUAUCUUUAUUUGCUGAGAAGAAAUACUUUUGAUAGUUUACAAGAUGGCCAUAUCUAAUAGAGUCAUCAACAUCCAGGGACAAAAUUCAUUUUAGUAAAUAACAAAUUGGAAAAAAAAGACAAGAGAUUUUUUUUUCUUUGGCCUUUUAAAACUCAC